RNAcentral lists this unclassified non-coding RNA (153 nucleotides) under soil metagenome. Its description in RNAcentral is "partial internal transcribed spacer 1". The record is from RNAcentral.
CCGAGUUUACAACUCCCAAACCCCUGUGGACAUACACUUUGUUGCUUCGGCGGAUCAGCCCGCUCUCGGUAAGGCGACGGCCCGCCAGAGGACCCAUACAACUCUUGAUUUGAUCUAUGAUUUAACUUCUGAGUGAUAUACAUAAAUAAAUCA